GACAGAGGGUGCAAACGUUGUUCGGAAUUACUGGGCGUAAAGCGCGUGUAGGCAGCUUUGCAAGUCGGAUGUGAAAGCCCUGGGCUCAACCUAGGAAGUGCAUUCGAAACUGCAGAGCUGGAGUCCUGGAGAGGAAGGCGGAAUUCUCGGUGUAGAGGUGAAAUUCGUAGAUAUCGAGAGGAACACCGGUGGCGAAGGCGGCCUUCUGGACAGUGACUGACGCUGAGGCGCGAAAGCGUGGGGAGCAAACAGG
RNAcentral lists this ribosomal RNA (253 nucleotides) under uncultured bacterium. Its description in RNAcentral is "partial 16S ribosomal RNA". It matches the Rfam family "Bacterial small subunit ribosomal RNA", at positions 524 to 776 of the family's 1533-position model. The record is from RNAcentral.